GUAGGUAAGAGGGUACUUGGAGAAUUUCCUGUUGAUGAUCCAUCAAGAAAGAAACUAAUCGUGCAGCAAGAAGCUCAUCAAGAUCUACUUCUUCAGCACAGCGUAACACACACCGAGAAAAAAAAUUUCCACAUUCUUCAAAAGCAUGAACAGAUUGAUGGAAGACACUGGAGACCUCUUUACUUGAACUCCCUGCAGACUGAGAAGAAGACACUCAGUUGAUUUGAAGGAAUUCAGACUGUUUAAGUGAAGGAUUUUUGAAGACUGUGGAUCAUCUUGGAUUUUAUGUAUCCCACUGGGUCUAUCUGAAACUGUGACGUAGCCACAAACAACUACCAGGAAAUGAAACAAAAAUUAAGAUGCAACUGUAUGACAGUGGACAAAAAUAAAACAAAAACAAGAGUAACGUUAAAAAAAACAAAGCAUCACUAUAGUACAUAUUGUUAGUAUAGUACAAAUAGCAGUUGCUUAAUUCAGAAGCCACUUAAAUAGGACACAUGCAACAUUCAGUUACAAAGUGCAAGACUCGAGGUUUUCCAACUUGUGAUGAAAAUAACUUUAAAAUUUAUUUCAACAAUCUAAUUAAAUGGAUUCAGUCAAAUACAUGAAAAAAUAUCUACUUUCAGUCUACAAGUAUUAGAAAAUUCUUAAUUAUAAGACAACAGUAGUUUAAUAAAACAUAUAUAUAGUUUUUGUUUCUGGUACCUGGUAUAGAACUCCUAAAACCCAUGGAAUCUCCAGAGUGACAGGAGUCUUUUGUUAUUCACAAUGAGCCUAUUAGAGCUAGCCUCAGUUUAUGCUAAUGAGGUGACUUAGGCUUAGCCCUUCUUGGAAGGUUGGAACUUUUAGCCUUACCUCAGACCUCCCUGGAGGGGGUGGUGGGGUAGUGGUGGUUGGUGGAGGUCAGACUUAGUCAACAAUGAGCAAUGAUUUAAUCAACCAUGCCUAUGUAAUGAAACCUCAAUUAAAACUCUGAAACAACACAGCUACGGGAGCUUACCAGUUGGUGAAUACAUGGACACGCUUGGGGGGAUGACAUUCCUGGAGAGAACAUAGAAGCUCUGCACAACCCUUACCCCCAUUCCUUGCCCUAUAUAUCUCUUCCAUUUGGCUGUUCCUGACUUGUAUCCUUUAUAAUAAACUGGUAAU
Non-coding RNA from Delphinapterus leucas (beluga whale), 1149 nucleotides. Lineage: Eukaryota; Metazoa; Chordata; Mammalia; Artiodactyla; Monodontidae. The record is from RefSeq and is a predicted model, not a curated record.